This 445-nucleotide ribosomal RNA is filed under the name uncultured bacterium. Its description in RNAcentral is "bacterial SSU rRNA". It matches the Rfam family "Bacterial small subunit ribosomal RNA", at positions 15 to 507 of the family's 1533-position model. The record is from RNAcentral.
GAUCAUGGCUCAGAACGAACGCUGGCGGCAUGCCUAACACAUGCAAGUCGAACGAGACCUUCGGGUCUAGUGGCGCACGGGUGCGUAACGCGUGGGAACCUGCCUUUAGGUUCGGAAUAACUCAGAGAAAUUUGAGCUAAUACCGGAUAAUGUCUUCGGACCAAAGAUUUAUCGCCUUUAGAUGGGCCCGCGUUGGAUUAGCUAGUUGGUGGGUAAAGGCCUACCAAGGCGACGAUCCAUAGCUGGUCUGAGAGGAUGAUCAGCCACACUGGGACUGAGACACGGCCCAGACUCCUACGGGUGGCAGCAGUGGGGAAUAUUGGACAAUGGGCGAAAGCCUGAUCCAGCAAUGCCGCGUGAGUGAUGAAGGCCUUAGGGUUGUAAAGCUCUUUUACCCGAGAUGAUAAUGACAGUAUCGGGAGAAUAAGCUCCGGCUAACUCCGUG